UGUGUAUAGUACAAACAUUAUCAUUAACAUAAAACUUUUGUCAAGGUAUUUGCUUCCCAUGAAUGAGCACUGGUCAGGUAUUUUAGUUUUGGACUCUUUGUUCCCUUUUGGACAUUUUAUUAUGAAUGUUAUUACAGCAUUUUAAAGGAGGGAGUGGAAUAGAAAUUUGAAUAACUGGGGAUGUAGCUUGGAAAGCAUAAAGUGAUAUUAAGUGAAUUUUUCUCAUAUUUCCUUAGGAGAGGUAAACUUUAUGGACAGAAAACUCCAUGACACUUCAUCUUUACUGUGGAGAGGACAGCUUGAAAUAGGGAAGGCACAGUGUGAUGUAACCUUCAGACCUAUCUUGUGUAAUGGCAUUUGCCAGAUCCCAGAGACUGAAAAUGAAAUUCUAGUUCGAUGUAACUCUUCUGUCUUCCUACUUAUAACAAGAUUUGAGAUCCCAGGGGGUUGUUUCAGGAUGUCAGGUUAAGCCUCUUUAAUCUCCUUAUGAUCAAACUUCAUCCUCCAGAGCAGGUAGUUAAGACUGAGUUUAUCACAGAUAGAACUUCUUUUUUUUUUUUUCCUAAAGGUCAAAACUUCAUCUCCCAGUUUAAGUAGUAAAGAAUAAAGUCUGAGCACCUUACACUUGUCCUUACUGGACUUCCUGGGGCUCUCAGUUGAACUGCCUUGCAGCAGUUGCAGCCCACCUGUUUGCCUUUAAUGACAGGAACAUUUUAAUUUUUGCUGCUGAAAGGAUGCCUUAGGGGACUUUUGGUGAGCUCAUGAUGUUCCAGCUGUGAUGGAGGAGCUGUCUGGCUGACAGGUCACUUCCCUUUGGUGAUUGCCACCAGCCAGCUCUGAUUUUAUUUUAUCUAUCCCUGUACAGUCCUGCCUGGUGAAGGAUUUCUCUAUAGAGUAAUUUUUAUCUGUGACAUUGGAAUUUUCUUGGCUAGAAAUCAUUUUAUUUGGCAAAGAAAUGGAUUUUGUGGGUGGUGCAUUACUUCUGCUGAUGAAACAGCAACUUCUCUGCCCAGGAUCUCUUGGCACAGGGCUUGACAAUGGGUGUUGUUAACAGCCAGAGGUGAUCACCUGGCAGGCAGCAGCAACCUUAACUGAUAAAUACCGCCUCUUUUUUAUUAUUUAUUUAUUUGUUUGUUUGUUUAUUUGUUUGGUAAUCCCAGAGUACCUGUGAAUGACUUUUUUUCUGAUAUACUUGUCAUUCAGCAUAUUUGUUGAUUUAUAGCACACACUGCCAAGAAGAAUCAAUUCUAACCCACAUUGUUUAGCUCUGGUGUGUACUUUGUACUACAAGACACAUUGUCCAUUCUCUAAAGCAGUAAACACAGAGCUGGUAAAUAUGAAUUUUUGAUAAAUAUGCAUUUUUUUGAUAAAUUUCCACGUCACACCAGCAUUUCUCUGCAUACUACUAUGCAAGCUAAACUCUUCAACGUUUAUUCAGAUUAAGCAAAAAGCAAGAUUCGGACUUUAACAAAUGUUUAAAUUAUAUUGAAAUAAGUGCUGUGAAGUUUCCCCCUCCCCCUGAAUACUCCUUGAAAAGUUUCUGAGGUAUUCAAUGACAGAACAUACAACUUCUACAUGGUUCCAUUUUACCUUUUAUUUUUGAAAUGCUACGCAUUAGGAACAAUUUGGAAAGAUAUUAUUUGCUCAGUUUGGGAAAGGAGGAUAUUAAGAGGCUCAGAAACAAAUGUAAGAUCUGAAUUGAAGGUUUUUGUUAAACUACACAGAAGUGUAAUCAUAUGCUUAUGGUGAAAAUCACAUCAUCAAUCACAUUUCACACAGGGAAUUUUUGCACUGUAUAAUCAGAGGAGUUUUGCAAUGAAUGAUAAAGAAGCCAGGACUUCACAAGAUAAAAUAAAAAAUUGCCAGAUUUGUCAUUUACUUCGCAUUCCUAUACCUCACUAUAUUUUUUUUCAGAAUCUAGAUGAGGAUAAGCUACAAUUUAUGUUCUGAAGGUAUUUUUUGAGAUGCACAUAAACAAAGUUCCAUGUAUAUAACAUUAUAAGGCUGUCAUGACAGCUUUCAUAUUCUAGAUUUAGCAUGUUAAAAUCAAUAUUAAAAACAUAAUAAAUAGUUUUCUCCAACCAAGCACACAUCAAUUCUGAAUACAAGGCAAAGAAGAAAACGUAUUGGAAAUACAUAAAGAAUUAGAAACAAUAAGUAAAUCAAAGAAUUUUUAAUUAGUUUUUUUACACAAAAUAGAGAAUAUGGGCAUUUUAUAAGCUGAACAGGGUUCCAAAAAGUACUAUGUGCCCCUAUGCCCAUACAUCCUCUUUAUUAUCAUGCAAAUAAGUGAGUUCCUCAAAUCAGGCCCCCUGUGUGCACUAAUUUCAUUACUCUGCUGGAGACAUCAUUCAUGUGUGCUUUAUAGUUCUCUUGCACAAAAUCUAUAGGGUUUUUGUUUGUUUGUUUGCUUUGUUGGUUUGGGUAUUUUAAUUAGACUGAGUAUAAGCUCCCUCACAUUUUCAAAGAGAAGGUGCCAGUGAUAUUCUGCUUUGCAUAAUGUCAGCAGUGUAUUCCUAACACAUUUCAAUUCAAGUAUGUUACAAUUAUGAAUAUAAUACCUAGUGCUUCAUAAUUUUAUUUACUGCAGGGUGGAAAAGUGCAGGGGAAGGUUUGAGGUUUGACACCCAUUUUUGUCCCUCAGCUGACAAGGUCAGUUAAGUACAGCUCCAAAGAGAUUUAGAGAGAGGCUGUGUUAACUAUUCCUUGCCCAGCAGCAAUGUUGCCUCAGCAGGUCAGGACAGAGUCCCAUCCUGUGUUAGCAGCCUUGUCCAGCUCUGGACUGCACUCUUGAACCUCCUGGUCCUGAAUUUCUAGAGAGCUCUGAGAAGCUCAUUUGGAUUCCUGCUGGAUUCUGUGCACACCAAACUGAGAGACACACUCCAGCUGUGCCCCAAAGUGCUCCAGCUGUGCCCCCACCUGCUGUAUCCAGGGCAGCACCAUGCAGACACCUCCAGGUGGAUCUUGGGUUGGCUUUUCCUCUCCAAAUGAUACAGACAGAACUGUGAAGCCAUUGCCAUGCAGGGAAGGAAAACCAGCUGGAGCUGUGUGCUAGGAAAUCAGUAGGAAUUCUUGGAAGAUCUGGCUUAUGAGGCAAAGAUAAAGAACUACCGUGUUGGGGAAUCUAAAAAGUAGAAGACCCCAGAAAGAGCAAAAAGGCCCCAGAAAGUAGACAAAAAGCUGAGAAAGCUUGGGAAUCUCAAUACUUUCCCUAAGAAAUUAGGAACCAAGUGCAUACAUUUAUAUCUAUCAUAAGGAACAAGAACUGAUUGCUGGUUCAGGAUGUAAAAGGUCUUAGACAUGUGCUUUGCAAAGAUAGAAGAAGUUUCAGUCUUGAAUAAUAAAUUAUUGUGUAUUAUGUUUUUAGGUUUACAGAAGUCUUAUGGUUAAUUCUAAACCCACGUGGGUCUUUCUCUGAUUUGCUAGAAUAAUAUGACUCUGAACUUCUUCUUGUAAAGUAUUGGUUGAGAAAAUAUCUAGAAAAAGGCUCUGCAUCAGCUGUGGCCUUGUCUCUGAUCUAGGUUUGCAUGGAUUUUGUUGUUUUCCUGUGUCUCUUGCUUAUUGCUUGUAUGUUACAGACACAUAAAUAAUCCUAAGUCUGCAACUAGACCGAGCCCCAUCCUGUUUGUGACACCCUGCCUGAUCCAGCACCAUAUUACAGUGUUGGCACAAGAGAAGAAUACCCUAAUCAGAGGGUGGUUUGAGUUGGAAGGACCUCAAAGAUGAUCCCAUUCCAACACCUCUGCCAUGGACAGGACACCUUCCACUAAAACAGGAUUCAGACAGAGGGCUGCAAAGACUUGAGAGAGAAGAAAUGGAUAUAAAUCUGGAGGAUUUGAAUAGACAGGAGAUUUGUCAAGGGCUAAUUUCAGUGUAGUAACCAGUGGGAGUAAUGCUCCUGAGAGACAGCAGAGAACAGUGGUUUUCCAGGUGAAUUACAAUUCAUUUGAGGAUGAAAGAAAGUGUUUUGUGCUUUAUGGAAAAUACAAGGUGCUUUCAGCAGAUGUGCAGCAAGUGAACAACGUUAUAAUAAUUGUUCCUGCUGUUAGUACAGAAAUUAGUGAUGCUUUGCUGUGUCUGAACUGACCUCAAAAUAUUUAGCCUGGGAUUGUGGAGCAGCCCUUGAACUGAGCAGUCUGGAAGAGAGAAGAUAUUCAACCCCGAUUUGAGGGAGGAGAGCCAAGGGCAGGAGGUUGGGAACAACCCAGCUCCAAAAGCUGCCUCAGGUCUUCUGGCUUGCCUAAGUUCUGGGCACAAGUUUGCCAUGAAAUAUUCUCUUUCCUUGGUUUCAGAGAGGAGGCAGACAGCUGGUGGAGCCACAGAUUAGCCAGGAGGAUUCUGUUCCUUCACCUCACUGCCCUCCUGAUAGUUCCCCAGAAGUUCUGACAGGACUACACACUUUGGAAAUUGUUGAACAGGGUGCUUUGGUUGUACAGAAGAACUGUAUAUUACAUUUUCUGGGCUGCCUUAAAACCAUGACAUCUGGACCAGCUCAGUAUCUUGAGUUAUUCUUUAUGAGAAAAGAUGUCAAAGCAUUACCAUAUUACUGGAAAUGGAGACAAAACCCUUCCUUAAAUAUUACAGCUAGAGGUGAUAUUUCCAUCUGUUCUGCUAUGGAAAAGAGACUUGUUCAGGAGUGGAGGAUUUGCUGCUUUUCAGGAAAAGAUCAGACAAGAUUCUCUAGCUUGAUGGCAAUGUAACAAGGAGCAUCAUCCCAUGAAUUGGAAAAGAUCCCUGGGCAUGUGACAGAAAUAAAUGAUCCAGGGGGAUGGCCAAUGAGAAUGAUGGCUCAUUCCAUGUAAUUUUUGAAACCCACUGACAUCAUGCAGUGUCUGCACUUUGUGAUAUUCCAGGCCAGAAAAUUCAACAUCUUUGGCUACUGACACAAGAAUGAUUCAACAAUGUGCGAGCAGCAGUGUUCAGCUCAGUGAAGGGGAAGCUGCAUGACAAGAAAAUCAUUACAAUCUCUUAUAAUCAGGCAGAUGGAUACAGUUCUGUUGGUAUCUGGUGCAAGGCUAUUCAGGAGCAGGCUGCACACCCCUUCUUCAGGGCAUUUAUUAAGCAGUUUGUCAGAUGAGAUGGUGCUGAAGCAGAGUCCCAGACUGGUCCAUUUUGGGUUUCCAGCCGCAAGUCACAGAUGGAAUGAGGAGGAGAAAACGUUCUGCAGUGAAGCAGCCAGAGACCCUAAUGAAAUGUGGCACAUUAAUUUCUGAGCUAUGAAAUUAUGUAAUCCCAGUGGAUUUACAUUUGGAAUUCAAGGACCACAACGAGGAUGAGAUAGUCUCUUCUGUGAGAAGAGUGUUUACUUCACAAAUUGCUUCUGGCUGGGUUUUGCCUCAUAUAAUCAUCUCUGGGAGCAACCUCUUACUUGAAAAAUGAAGUAAUGAAUUAUUGCUCCUGAAUUAUUGCUUGCAUUUGUCCAAAGAUGUCCAAGAAAUGUCAACCUUGUUGCUUUAUGAAAAAGGCUAAAGAGAUGAUACAGGUAGACAGAUAGAUGGAGACAGGCAGACAGACAGCAAGAUAGGCAGAGCCCAAGUCUGAUCUCACAAAAAGCCCUGGAAGAAAAUACCAGUAAUUCAUGCCUUUGGUUCUUAAACCAAUCAGUGGCACUGGGGAAUGAUCCAAUAUAAUUUUCUCAAGAAUUAAAUUCAGAUGCCCCUGAUUAAAAACUCCCAGCAGCUCAGGCUGGGUGUGUCCACAGCCCUGUUUGGGGUACUCUCAUCAAGCUGUCAGCUGCCUCACACCAGGUUUAUUCCAGUGCCUGACACACAUUCAUAAAAGAAGUGAUUAAUUCCCAUUUGAGACUGUGGUGCAGUGAACAUGAAUGAUAUUAACAGGAAUCAGAUCAGUUUUCAGUCUCCCAAGGCCCCAGCAGCAAGCCAGCAGCCUUGCAGCAUUUAAAUGGUCAGGGCUCAGUUUUCAGCACUCAGAAGUGCAGGAAGUUCUUUCAUCUGUGCGACGUGAGCCACACAGUUGUCCUGGACCUUCUUACAUGCAGAUAAUCCACUUUCUCCUGUCAUGUGGCCAAGCCCAUGGAGAGGAACAGAAUCAAAUUCCUCUUGCCUGAGCUGGUUCUCACUGCACUGAGUGGCAGGUUUUCCUCAGGCAGUGUAAUUUCCACAUUUACUUGUCUUUUAUUACUGGUUUGCAGUGGAUUACUCUGAUGCAAGCACAAGUAUUCCACAAAAGCAGCAGCUUCGUGAAGGAUGUGACAGGCAAUGUUUCAGGCUGACAUAAAAACUACUCAGAUUACAUAUUCAAAGUAGUUCUGAUUCAGUGUUUUUCCAAUGCCAACGUGAAGCAGGAUGUAAAAUUGUGUGCAAGAGUUUGGGCAGCGAUAAGCAGUAUUCAGAUGUGUCAUUCACCAGCAAAUAAUUUGCAGUUUGACUUGGUUACAAGACUUCAAAUUCUGAAACCUUCUCAAAACAGGCAGGUUUUUUCUGGAUAUUAGACUAGAACCAUAACCUAGGUAUUAAAGGCAGUCUACAGUGCAUGGCAAUGAAGCAGAAUUAUUUUGUUGAGAUAAUGUGGUUCAUUCAUCAGAAAUUAUAGCAUAAGGGAAAGGGAAGACAGAUUUGGAUAUCCUUGGACAGUACUCUGUGGAGAAAGAAAUACAGAAUUCCAUGCAAAUUUCCAGAAAGGAUGAUUAAUUAGAUUCCUUAAUAUAUCAAUUUUAAGUUUGCUGUGCAAUUUUACUCUUCCUUCUCUCCAGAAACAUGAGGUCUUUCAUGCUCAGUUAAGACACUGGGAGAAAUCAUUGUUUAGGAAGAAUUACUCACCCUUUGUCCUGACUUUUUUUCCUCAUUUCAAAUGUCUAGUCAACUUCAAUUUUUUUUUUCUUAUAUUAGAAAGCAAAGAUUUUUUUUUUAAAUCAAUCCCUUAAUAAGAGCCUACUUUACACAGAUUAACGAGGAGUUGACAUUCUUUCUAUAAUACAUCUCAGGUAGCAUGGACAGUUUUUCAAUAAAGAGGAAAGCUUGGGAAAUGAUAGUAUGUAUCAAGUGAUUCUCAGUCAAAAAUGAAAAUAAGAAUUAAUAAAUACUGAAAGACAUACAUUACAAAUCUGGCAUCUCUAUACAUUCUUUUUUUGCCAAGUCUUGAUUUAUAAUUCAGGACAUGACAUAUGAUAAAGGCAAAUAUAUAUAUAUAUAUAUCUGUCUCUUGAUCUAUUGAUAGAUAUGACUUAUGAGAUCAGAGGUGGUUUCUUGGCUGUUAUCUAAAAAAGUCCAGUUGAAGCUGGACCAAAAAUACAUUAAUCAUUCAUGUUCAUGCACAGAUAGACAUGCUGUGAAACACUUUCAUCUUUUCCCUAAAAAUAAUGUUCAGGUAUCUCCCAGCCUGUGUGACGUGAGCAAAAUCUCCUAAGAUUCUAGCAAGGAUUAGUCUUUGUCUAUUUUUGAUUUAAACUCAUGAUGUACAGCAUUAUACUAUUACCCACUGACAACACUGUAUGAAAUAUUUGCUCAUUAAUUAUGGAUGGAAACAUGAGACCUGGGAAGUCACUGGUAAAAUGCCAAAAGCCCAACAUUAAAGGGCAGGAACAAGUGCUAAUGCUUGGGAUGGAGACUAGAUCUUG
Prinia subflava (tawny-flanked prinia) is the source of this 7576-nucleotide long non-coding RNA. RefSeq lists it as uncharacterized. Lineage: Eukaryota; Metazoa; Chordata; Aves; Passeriformes; Cisticolidae. The record is from RefSeq and is a predicted model, not a curated record. The transcript is spliced from 10 exons.